Molecule: long non-coding RNA, 2682 nt
Organism: Athalia rosae (coleseed sawfly)
Lineage: Eukaryota; Metazoa; Arthropoda; Insecta; Hymenoptera; Athaliidae
Exons: 3
Source: RefSeq, a predicted model, not a curated record
UGUGUUGCGACAAAAAACCAAAAUUAUUGCAACUAGUUUUACAAAAACAACAGUCAUCUCUCGGAUCAAAAUGAUUAUGAUGAUUAUAACGAGAAUGACGAUAAUAAAUCGUCAUUUCUUUUCUUUCUCGUUUUUUUUUUCUUUUUUUUUUCUCUAGGUUCUAAACGAUGGAGAAAAAUUUCGGAAAAAAAAUAUUCUCGUGCAGCAGUUCUACGCGAGGUAGUAAAUUAUUUGGUUGCCAGUUAAAAUGAGGAGCGAUGAGAAAGACGAGUACGUGUACGGAAGGUCGGUAGUUACGUGGAUAACUUUGUACAAGAAGUUAAUUAAUGGCUCAAUUAAACAUUCUCACAGUCGCCGAGAGUAAAAUCGAUUAUUUUCGCAGUCGUCUAACCCGCGGGACGUUGUAAAGUUUAAAGUACGGUACAUGCCGCGGUGCGGGUGCGACGAACUUCUACAUAUAUAUAUAUACCUGCACGUCUUACGGAGCUGUAAAACGAUCACGGUCGUUACUUCGUCAAUCAAAAUGUCCGCGCUGUGGAAGUUGAAGGUUUUUCUAUUACGUCUACAUAAAUAUUCGAAUAUAUCUGCGGUCGUGGCUUGUUCAACAAAUGCGUCGAGAUCUACCUGCGGAUUAUCCCCUCCCCGAGGUAGCGCCCUACCGCAGCUGGUCACAGUCGUCACAGUACGAAUAGCGUCCGGAGAAUUCAUUCGAUUCAAUUGUGAUGGGACAUUUCGGCGGAGCGAAUUAUACGACAAGAUUUGAAAGUUGAAACAGGGUGCAGCUUACUCGGUAAAUAUUUUUAGAGAGCUAUGAAUACGUUUGAUAAAUAGCUUAUUACCACUGUACCUGCUUCUUGAAAUACAAAUAAUAAGCCCAGGUAAUCUUGAUGGAUAUCAAUUCCGCGCACCGCGAUCGCGUGCCAACGAUUCCAGAGGCACUUGACUCACCUUGUUCCUGCUCAAUAACUGCAGUAAAAGCUAAGUCAUUGAAAAAUAUCCCAAGGGUCGAUUUUAAUUUUCGAACUGAUCAUUUUCUCGCUUAUCCGGGUUCCGACUCCUGCUCCCAAAACAUACAAUACGACACCAAACUACGAAGAAGUAUGAAAAGGCGAACGCUCAUUCUCCACUUCCAAGGAAGAAUAAAAAAAAAGAAUAUAACUUCAAGAAGAGAUGUACGCAAAACUCGUGAUAUGCGACACCAACACAAAGGAUCUGCAUCCUUUUUGUCUUGCAGAAGAGUAUGAGGUAAGAUAAGGAAAUGGUACAGGCUACGGAAGUUUCAGGCAGAUAUUUGAAUUUUUGGAUUAUAUUUAACAAUAUGGUUGUACGGAAUUUCAAGGAGGGAGAGGGAGAGGGGGACAUAAAUUGUGUCGACAGUUUUGAAAUCCUAUCUCUUUGAAGAAGAUGAGCGUUGGAGGAUUCUCCAUUAGUAGGAUUUAAGUUAAUGGUGAUGAAAACUUAAAUGUGAAUAAUGUCAAUGAAAUUUUGUAUAUAGGUAUAUCCGUUGAUGAACCGACGGAUAAUGCUUUUAAGAGCUUUUGAACCAGUCAAGAAUAUUCAUCGUCUCGAACUAUCGGAGCUAUUCUUCCAGCAUUGAAGCAAUUAUUAUUUAAAACGUUCAACUCGAUUGUCGAAGGCUCACAAAUUUGUACCUUGCGUCCGGAUCCGGAUAGGAGAUCGAGUAAUUGUUUUUGCUGGAGAUGGAAAUAAAGCUGAAGCCAAACCGUGAAAGAUCGAAUACAACUUUAAGAAAUUCCUGAAUAAAAUUUCCGUUGAAUCAACAAUGUAAUUCAAUGAAUGGUACAACAAUUUCUAUGAUAAGAGUUUGUGUAUGUUUGAAAUAUCCUUGGGGGGGUACGUAAAACGAGUUUCUACAAAAGUCUGGUGCAUAAUAACGAAACGUUAUAACUUCCGAACUUUGAAUCAAUCAAGGAACAACAAUACUUGCUGUUUACUCUUCAAUUACAAAAUAUUAAUCAUAAUUUUCACGAUCCGAAGAUAGAAAGCGAGUAACCGCAAAUAUCAUUGAAAUUUAAAAAAUCGAAUCCCAGCACUGCGGUUAUCGGCUGAAAGUUUCCAGUCCCAAACAACGUCAAUGUUUUCAUUUUUCCUUCUUCUUCUCUCAUUUCCGACCUUCGACUAACGAGAUCUAGUUUGAGUUAUCAAUUAGUACCUACCGACGUUACAUCCAUAGGAAUUCCAUUUAUAAUAAUUCAUACGCGUAACCGUUGAGGCACACAAUUACGUAAUUGCGGAAGGAAUCGUGUCUAAGUGUGCGAGACAGAAGUGUGUACAUACCUACGUACGCAUGAAGAAUUACGCAUCAUUCGCGGAGGAAUUAUCAUAGUACAAAUACGUGUAGAAACGUGUUCAUUUCGAGAUGCGUCACAUACCUAUGGUACUUACGCAUCGUAGUACGAUCGCUUAAAAACUUUCAGAAGUUUACCUUGCGUGCUUAUUCAAUACUAUUUUGGCCUUCGGCUUUCGGUUGAUGAUAUUUUAGGAGCCGAUCGAUCACUUAAAUAUUUCAGUCGAUCGGACCCAUGGGUUGCCAGAAAAUGUCAACGAUCGAAGUACGUGCACCUACAAUUUACUUACUUUCGACUUGAAUUCUAAACGUUUAACCACCGACGGAUGCGAAGGCGGUAAAACUUCUUCAAUUGAUAUCGAAUCUCAUUUCGA